This 65-nucleotide transfer RNA is filed under the name Plestiodon elegans. Its description in RNAcentral is "tRNA-Cys". The record is from RNAcentral. Lineage: Eukaryota; Metazoa; Chordata; Lepidosauria; Squamata; Scincidae.
AGCCGUGAGGUGUUCCACACUAGAAUGCAAAUCUAGAGACGCACACCCAGGGUGUGCCGCGGCUU